GCUAGACAGUGCUUGCUUUGGAUGACUGGGGUUUAGUCAUUGUUGGUGAACUUACAUGUUGUACCUUGUUGUAUAUGGUCAUCCCAUGUUGUACCUUGUACAAGGUCAUCUCGUGUUGUUCAUGAACGUAACAAGGUCAUCCCAUGUAUCCAGAUUUAACAGGUCAUCUCAUGUUGUACACGAAUGUAAUAAGGUCAUCCCAUGUUGUAUCCAGAUUUAACAAGGUCAUCUCAUGUUGUACCUUGUACAAGGUCAUCUCAUAUUGUUCAUGAACGUAACAAGGUCAUCCCAUGUUGUAUCCAGAUUUAACAAGGUCAUCUCAUGUUGUACCUUGUACAAGGUCAUCUCAUGUUGUUCAUGAACGUAAAAAGGUCAUCCCAUGUUGUA
Haliotis rubra (blacklip abalone) is the source of this 387-nucleotide long non-coding RNA. RefSeq lists it as uncharacterized. The transcript has 3 exons. Lineage: Eukaryota; Metazoa; Mollusca; Gastropoda; Lepetellida; Haliotidae. The record is from RefSeq and is a predicted model, not a curated record.